This 440-nucleotide ribosomal RNA is filed under the name uncultured bacterium. RNAcentral describes it as "bacterial SSU rRNA". It matches the Rfam family "Bacterial small subunit ribosomal RNA", at positions 8 to 496 of the family's 1533-position model. The record is from RNAcentral.
AGAGUUUGAUCCUGGCUCAGAACGAACGCUGGCGGCAGGCUUAACACAUGCAAGUCGAGCGCCCCGCAAGGGGAGCGGCAGACGGGUGAGUAACGCGUGAGAACGUACCCUUUACUACGGAAUAACGCAGGGAAACUUGUGCUAAUACCGUAUGUGCCCUUCGGGGGAAAGAUUUAUCGGUAAGGGAUCGGCCCGCGUUGGAUUAGCUAGUUGGUGGGGUAAAGGCCUACCAAGGCGACGAUCCAUAGCUGGUCUGAGAGGAUGAUCAGCCACAUUGGGACUGAGACACGGCCCAAACUCCUACGGGAGGCAGCAGUGGGGAAUAUUGGACAAUGGGCGCAAGCCUGAUCCAGCCAUGCCGCGUGAGUGAUGAAGGCCCUAGGGUUGUAAAGCUCUUUCACCGGAGAAGAUAAUGACGGUAUCCGGAGAAGAAGCCCCGG